CCGGGGCUCUCCCGUUAUUCCCAGCGGGAUUUAAUGGAGGAAAAUCCACCCCCACCCUCGGGAAUCCCGGGAAGCGAAAAGUGCGGGAUCAGCUCCAAACGUCCGCCCGGAUCCGGGAAAAAGGCAGGAAAAACCCCCCAAAUUCCCAGGAAAACCCCCCCCCCCAAAUUCCCAGGAGAAGCAGCGGGAACGGGAGAAGCCUCCAAACCAUUCCCAAGGCCGGGAAAUCUCGGGAUUCCGGGAAUUGCAGCACCUGGAAAACGGGAUAAUCCGCCUUCCUCCGGGGGAAAACGGGGAACGGAAAAGGGAAUUCCGGAGCCGGAAUUAAGGACGAAGGGGGGGAAGUUUUCCAGGGAAUUGGGCGGGAAGGAGAUCCCAGCGGGGUCACCGGCCGGAAUUCCAAGCCCUGGCGGAUCCCAAUCCGUGUUUUUAUCCAGCUGGGAGAGGGAAAACGGGAGUUAAUUCCAAGGGAAAACGGGAUUCGUGUCGAUGUUAAAAUCUGGGAAGCGACAAUUCCCUCGGGAUAUUCCCGAACUAGAGGAGGGAAAAAGCUCUUCCCAGUUAUUCCUCCUUCCCAGAAAAAGAAGGAAGAGCGAAAGGAUCCCAUUCCCCCAAAAAAUCCGGGAUUAAUCCAUGAUUUUGAGAGGAAAAACAGGAUUUGUGUCGAUCUGAACCUUUGGGAAGCGACAAUUCCCUCGGGAUAUUCCUGAACUAGAGGAGGGAAAAAGCUCUUCCCAGUUAUUCCUCCUUCCCAGAAAACAAGGGAAGAGUGAAAGGAUCCCAUUCCCCCAAAAAAUCCGGGAUUAAUCCAUGAUUUUGAGGGGAAAAAGCAGCCCAGGAGGGAAAAAAUUCCCGAAUAUCGGCGGGAAAUCCACAUUCCAAGAGGGACGGGAGCCCGAUCCCGGCUCGGGAAAAGCGGGAACGACGCUCCCGGAGCAGCUUUUCCCGGGAUAAUGAACAUUCCCGGGGGGGGUUGUGUCGCUCCCAAGGGAUGGGAUAACCCGGGAAUGGGAUCCCGGGGAUUCCUCGUCCCGCUGGAUCCAGGAAGGGGAAUAUUCCAGGUUAUGGUUGGGAAUGACACGGCCGGGAAGGUGGGAAUGUUCCGGCUUCCAGUGGCUCCUUCCCAUCCCAUCCCAAAUAUCCAGGAAUUGGGAAUGUUCCGGCUUCCAGUGGCCCCUUCCCAUCCCAUCCCAAACAUCCAGGAAUUGGGAAUGUCCCUGAUCCCAGUGGCUCCUUCCCAUCCCAUCCCAAACAUCCAGGAAGGUGGGAAUGUCCCUGAUCCCAGUGGCUCCUUCCCAGUACAUCCCAAAUAUCCAGGAAUUGGGAAUGUUCUGGCUCCCAGUGGCUCCUUCCCAGCUCAUCCCAAAUAUCCAGGAAGGUGGGAAUGUCCCUCUUCCCAGUGUUUACACCCCUGGAGCCAGGAUCCAGGGAUGCUCCAGGAUCCCUCUUCUCUUCCCAGCUCAUCCCAAAUAUCCGGGAAGGUGGGAAUGUCCCUGAUCCCAGGGUUUACACCCCCGGAGCCAGGAUCCAGGGAUGCUCCGGGAUCCCUCUUCCCAGUGUUUACACCCCUGGAGCCAGGACCCAGGGAUGGCCUGGGAUCCAUCUUCUCUUCCCAUCCCAUCCCAAACAUCCAGGAAUUGGGAAUUUCCCUCUUCCCAGGGUUUGCACCAACCCCACCUGGAGCAUCCUCAGCAUUCCCAUCCCAAACAUCCAGGAAUUGGGAAUCUCCCUGCUUCCAGUGGUUCCUUCCCAGCUCAUCCCAAAUAUUUGGGAAGGUGGGAAUUUCCCUGAUCCCAGUGGCUCCUUCCCAGCUCAUCCCAAAUAUCCAGGAAGGUGGGAAUGUCCCAGAUCCCAGUGUUUACACUCCCAGAGCCAGGAUCCAGGGAUGCUCCGGGAUCCAUCUUCUCUUCCCAUCCCAUCCCAAACAUCCAGGAAUUGGGAAUGUUCCUGCUCCCAGUGGCCCCUUCCCAUCCCAUCCCAAACAUCCAGGAAGGUGGGAAUGUUUCAGCUUCCAGUGGCUCCUUCCCAUCCCAUCCCAAAUAUCCAGGAAUUGGGAAUGUUCCUGCUUCCAGUGGCUCAUUCCCAGCUCAUCCCAAACAUCCAGGAAUUGGGAAUGUCCCUGCUCCCAGUGGCCCCUUCCCAUCCCAUCCCAAAUAUCCGGGAAGGUGGGAAUGUCCCUGAUCCCAGUGUUUACACUCCCGGAGCCAGGAUCCAGGGAUGCUCCAGGAUCCCUCUUCCCAGUGUUUACACCCCUGGAGCCAGGAUCCAGGGAUGGCCUGGGAUCCAUCUUCUCUUCCCAUCCCAUCCCAUCCCAAACAUCCGGGAAGGUGGGAAUGUUUCAGCUUCCAGUGGCUCCUUCACAGCUCAUCCCAAACAUCCAGGAAGGUAGGAAUCUCCCUGAUCCCAGCUUUUU
Lepidothrix coronata (blue-crowned manakin) is the source of this 2413-nucleotide long non-coding RNA. The record is from Ensembl. Lineage: Eukaryota; Metazoa; Chordata; Aves; Passeriformes; Pipridae.